This is a non-coding RNA of Microcebus murinus (gray mouse lemur), 265 nucleotides long. Lineage: Eukaryota; Metazoa; Chordata; Mammalia; Primates; Cheirogaleidae. The record is from RefSeq and is a predicted model, not a curated record.
UCAGGCGUGGAUCAGCCCUUGGCUGGGCCCUGCCCACGGUGAGGAAGUGCCAGGGAGUGAGAGAGUGAUCUUAGGACUGCAGGCCACAGAGGAGCAGCGUGGGAUCAAGGUCGAGGCUGCAGGUAUGGGAAUGGGUGGCAGCCCUGGCAUGGAACUGAGAAUCACUGAGGCCAAGAAGAUACCUUGUGAUUGGCACUGGAUGAGGCGCUUCAGUGUGUCCUGAAUGCUGUUCAGCCGCUGUUCCAAGGCGCUCUUCUGCUCCUUC